AUUGAACGCUGGCGGCAUGCUUUACACAUGCAAGUCGAACGGCAGCGCGGGCUUCGGCCUGGCGGCGAGUGGCGAACGGGUGAGUAAUACAUCGGAACGUGCCCAGUAGUGGGGGAUAGCUCGGCGUAAGCCGGAUUAAUACCGCAUACGACCUGAGGGUGAAAGCGGGGGAUCUUCGGACCUCGCGCUAUUGGAGCGGCCGAUGGCAGAUUAGCUAGUUGGUGGGGUAAAGGCCUAGCAAGGCGACGAUCUGUAGCUGGUCUGAGAGGACGACCAGCCACACUGGGACUGAGACACGGCCCAGACUCCUACGGGAGGCAGCAGUGGGGAAUUUUGGACAAUGGGCGAAAGCCUGAUCCAGCAAUGCCGCGUGUGUGAUGAAGGCCUUCGGGUUGUAAAGCACUUUUGGCGGGAACGAAAAGGACUGUGCCAAUACCACGGUUCGAUGACGGUACCCGCAGAAUAAGCACCGGCUAACUACGUG
Molecule: ribosomal RNA, 484 nt
Filed under: uncultured bacterium
Lineage: Bacteria
Description: partial 16S ribosomal RNA
Rfam family: Bacterial small subunit ribosomal RNA
Source: RNAcentral